AAGGCCGGUCACCGGAAGCUGAGCUUCUCCUUCCGGGUCGGAGCCAUGGCGGUGGCAAAUUCAAGUCCGGUUAACCCAGUGGUCUUCUUUGAUGUCAGCAUUGGCGGCCAGGAAGUUGGUCGCAUGAAGAUCGAGCUGUUUGCAGACGUGGUGCCUAAGACGGCAGAGAAUUUUAGGCAAUUCUGCACUGGAGAGUUCAGAAAAGAUGGUGUUCCUAUAGGAUACAAAGGAAGCACCUUCCAUAGGGUCAUAAAGGAUUUCAUGAUUCAGGGUGGAGAUUUUGUUAAUGGAGAUGGUACUGGAGUCGCUAGCAUUUACCGUGGUCCAUUUGCAGAUGAAAAUUUUAAACUUAGACACUCAGCUCCAGGCCUGCUUUCCAUGGCAAACAGUGGUCCGAGUACAAACGGCUGCCAGUUCUUUAUCACAUGUUCUAAGUGUGAUUGGCUGGAUGGGAAGCACGUAGUGUUUGGAAAAAUCAUUGAUGGACUUCUGGUGAUGAGAAAAAUCGAGAACGUUCCCACGGGCCCUAACAAUAAGCCCAAACUGCCAGUGGUGAUCUCACAGUGUGGGGAAAUGUAAUCUCAACCAAGACUGAACCCGUACAGCUAACCUGGAAGGCCAUGGACAGCAAGCCAUCAAAGCCUGAUGAGGACACAGGCCUUGAACCAAGCAGAAAGCCCAGCACUGUUAACUCUGGCCUUAGUCAUUAAGCCUCCUGGAACUCGUUUGUCCCGUUGCAUGGAGAUGGUAUAUCCAGGCCAGUGAGCCAGUACAGCAGGUCUUCUGUGUUGGGUGACAUUCUCCAUGAGUCUGACAAGCUGGACUGGCCUCUGUGUUUGCUUCUCUGCCUCCACAAUGUGUGAUCCAGGACCUGGAAGUAUCACAGAUCAGAACCAAGAUCAUGUUUAAAUUUUGAACUGUAAAUAAAGAAUUUUUUUUUAAUGUAUGGA
This is an RNA transcript of Peromyscus leucopus (white-footed mouse), 950 nucleotides long. It is a transcript of the gene named peptidylprolyl isomerase H, with no coding region annotated. The transcript is spliced from 11 exons. Lineage: Eukaryota; Metazoa; Chordata; Mammalia; Rodentia; Cricetidae. The record is from RefSeq and is a predicted model, not a curated record.